GCGUCGGUGGUACAGUGGUAGAAUACUCGCCUGCCACGCGGGUGGCCCGGGUUCGAUUCCCGGCCGACGCA
This 71-nucleotide transfer RNA is filed under the name Rhipicephalus microplus (southern cattle tick). RNAcentral's name for it is "tRNA-Gly". It matches the Rfam family "tRNA". Rfam says of the family: Transfer RNA (tRNA) molecules are approximately 80 nucleotides in length. Their secondary structure includes four short double-helical elements and three loops (D, anti-codon, and T loops). Further hydrogen bonds mediate the characteristic L-shaped molecular structure. tRNAs have two regions of fundamental functional importance: the anti-codon, which is responsible for specific mRNA codon recognition, and the 3' end, to which the tRNAs corresponding amino acid is attached (by aminoacyl-tRNA synthetases). tRNAs cope with the degeneracy of the genetic code in two manners: having more than one tRNA (with a specific anti-codon) for a particular amino acid; and 'wobble' base-pairing, i.e. permitting non-standard base-pairing at the 3rd anti-codon position. Lineage: Eukaryota; Metazoa; Arthropoda; Arachnida; Ixodida; Ixodidae. The record is from Rfam by way of RNAcentral.